UUGGGUUUAAAGGGAGCGUAGGCCGGAGAUUAAGUGUGUUGUGAAAUGUAGACGCUCAACGUCUGACUUGCAGCGCAUACUGGUUUCCUUGAGUACGCACAACGUUGGCGGAAUUCGUCGUGUAGCGGUGAAAUGCUUAGAUAUGACGAAGAACUCCGAUUGCGAAGGCAGCUGACGGGAGCGCAACUGACGCUUAAGCUCGAAGGUGCGGGUAUCGAACAGGAUUAGAUACCCUGGUAGUCCGCACAGUAAACGAUGGAUGCCCGCUGUUGGUACCUGGUAUCAGCGGCUAAGCGAAAGCAUUAAGCAUCCCACCUGGGGAGUACGCCGGCAACGGUGAAACUCAAAGGAAUUGACGGGGGCCCGCACAAGCGGAGGAACAUGUGGUUUAAUUCGAUGAUACGCGAGGAACCUUACCCGGGCUUGAAUUGCAGAGGAAGGAUUUAGAGAUAAUGACGCCCUUCGGGGCCUCUGUGAAGGUGCUGCAUGGUUGUCGUCAGCUCGUGUCGUGAG
This 513-nucleotide ribosomal RNA is filed under the name uncultured bacterium. Its description in RNAcentral is "bacterial SSU rRNA". It matches the Rfam family "Bacterial small subunit ribosomal RNA", at positions 554 to 1071 of the family's 1533-position model. The record is from RNAcentral.